This is a non-coding RNA of Dermacentor albipictus, 3798 nucleotides long. NCBI's taxonomy places the organism in Eukaryota, Metazoa, Arthropoda, Arachnida, Ixodida, Ixodidae. The record is from RefSeq and is a predicted model, not a curated record.
AUGAUAUGUGGUGUUUAAUGGCGCAAGGGCCAGGUUUGGCCAAAGAGCGCCAUGACAAGUGGUGAUGUUGACGAUGUAUUAUGGAGAUGUGACUUGGCUGUAAAGUGGCCUAAAAAAUUGUCGCUGUAAAGUGCGUAAAAUCUACGUGCUAUAAAAUUAUGGCGAUGACUAAUGACGAAUACUCUAAACACUAAAAUCCAUCGUAGAAUAAUGAUGCAAAAUAUAAAAUAUAUAAGAUGGUAAAAUUACUUUGAGCACUGCUGCCUCGCCUGAGCCCUUGAACCACAAGGGCCUAGAGGCAUGUGCUAUUCAAAAUAAUGAUCACAGCGACAUCCUCUGAAGAGAGGAAGCGCUACGAACAUGUGGGGCUAAAAACAUGCAAAACAACAUCUUUCAGAAAACUUAAGACUGCGUUAGUGUCAAAUAGAGGUUCCGGGCCGAGUAACAUAACAGGAUGAAGGGGGAUGCGCUGCCGGUAUGCUAAGGGAAAAUGCUUCUUUCUUUCAUGUUCGGCUUCCCGACACUCCAGGAGGACGUGGAGGACGGUCAGCCUCUCACCGCAUCUACCGCAGGUUGGAGGCUCGUUUCCCGUUUGGCGGCCUCGGCAUCUCUGUGAGCUGUGACCGAAACGCUGGCAUUUAAAACAACGCAGGGGAUUAGGAACAUACGGGCGAACUCGGAGCUUGAUAUACCCGGCCUCGAUGGACUCGGGCAGAACACUUGUGCCAAAAUGCAUUGGAUGAGAACAUGAAUAACUGUAAGCCUGUUGCCACAUUUGGGACAUGUAGGGGGUUCGCUUCCCGUCAAAAGAGUAGUGCGACGAGCUGGAUAUCUGUUCGAAAUGUGCGCCAAGAAAGUUCGCCUGAUCUUCCAUGCUGUCGCCUUGAGUAUUCACUAAAGGCAGAGAGUAAGACUGUCGACCCUUUAUUCUAUUAACUCUAUUCCAAACCUUUGUUUCAUCAGUGUAGGAGUUAAUGCCUGAUAUAUACUUUCUCCAACUCUCUCUUCUAGCUUGUCGCCGCGUUCUUCGACCCUGGGAUUUGACCUGCUUGAAAUUGACUAGAUUUUCUGCUGUCGGAGAAUCCCGAAGUAAACCCCAUGCCUUGUUUUGCUUCUUUCGCGCUUUUCGACACUCAUCGUUCCACCAUGGAAGACGGUGUUUUGUGGACAAUCCACUUGUUACAGGGAUACAUUUGGAGGAGAUGUCAAGGAGAAAAGCCGUAAAAUAUUCAACCGCAGCGUCUAUGCUUAAAGCGCACAUGUCGUCCCAGGAUAAACAAGCAAGCUUUUUGAACGUUUCCCAGUCAGCCGAGUGAGUUCUCCAGCGAGGUAAUUGUGGAAGGCAUUCAUUAGCCAUAGGUGUGCUUAGAACUACAGGGAAAUGAUCACUCCCGUAUGGGUUUUUAAUAACUUUCCAUUGAAAGUACGGUAGAAGAGUAGGCGAUGCUAUGCUAAGAUCUAUUGAAGAGUAUGUUUUGUUUGCCAUGUUAUAAUACGUGGGCUCCUUCCCAUUCAAAAGACAUGCGCCUGAAGAAAAAAGGAACUGUUCAAUCAAGCGACCUCUCGCGUCGCAGCGCGAGUCGCCCCAUAGGUUGCUGUGCGCAUUUAAAUCUCCAAGCACAAGAUAUGGUUCAGGCAACUGAUCUAUUAGUGUUUGGAAUUCUUGUUUGUGGAGCUGAAAAUGCGGCGGUAUAUAUAGGGAGCAAAUGGUUAUCAGCUUAUUUAACAGUACAGCUCGAAUGGCCACUGCCUCAAGGGGUGUUUGUAGGUGUAAGUGUUGACAGGCUAUAGAUUUGUCAGCUAUGAUGGCUACGCCACCGGAUGAUGCGAGGGCAUCAUCGCGAUCCUUCCGAAAAAUAACAUACUGACGUAGGAAGUGUUUGUGUUUAGUUUUCAAAUGAGUCUCUUGGACACAUAGCACUUUAGGAGUUAGUUGAUUAAGGAGUUCUUGGAUAUCAUCGAGGUUGCAGAGUAGGCCUCUGAUGUUCCACUGAAUAAUCAGUGUAUCCAUAUUAAAAUAAAUGUUGUGCUAUGUGUCAAAGAGAAUGAACUUGGUUUAGCUUAUGUUGCCCUUUUGGGGCCCUGUAAUUGGAGUUUUAUCUUUUUUGGAGCGAUCGGCAAAAUCGCGCCGCUCCUUAGGCGUCAACUGCGCCUUCUGACUCGGUGUUGUGUCCAUAGCCUCUUGAGAGGCACUGGACAGCCGCUCUUGCGAGCGGUGUGUUUUCCGUGAAAGCCUUGUCUCAGAAGACAAGGCCUUGGAGCCCACCGUCCUGGUGGUUGGUGGGCUAGCCUUGACCUCGGAGCUGGGCUGACUGGUGCCAGCACUAGCGGAGGCCUCAACUGUGGACAAAUUCGGGAGAGGUAGGGCAGCCUUCGCUGCUCCCACCGUGGGGGCGGGUGGCGUUGCCGCACGCUCGCUAUGCGUGGCGCUGGCGUCCGCCAAGUGCCGCUGUGGUACUGCCCCCCGACGUACCACUUCGGCGAAAGAUGUGCUCUGUGCAAAUGUUGGUGAGAUGCGCUGUCUUGCUUCUCUGAAAGUUAUGUUUUCUUUUACCUUUAUUGUAAUUAUUUCUUUUUCUUUCUUCCAGACUGCGCAUGAUCGUGAAUAUGCUGGGUGACCACCAUUACAAUUACUACAACGGGGCUCAGCCUUACAGUCAUCUGCAGAGUGGUCAUUGAUGCCACAUUUUGCACAUGUUAGCCGCCCUCGGCAGCUCUGAGAAGCAUGACCAAACCUCUGGCAUUUAAAACAUCGUCGAGGGUUUGGGAUGUAUGGUCGUACUCUGAGUUUGGUAUAUCCAGUUUCUAAUGUCUCUGGUAGUGUGCUAGAGCCAAAGGUAAUAAUCAGGUGCUUAGUUGGCAGUUCCUUGUUGUCACGUCUAAUUUUUAUUCUUUGUACACUUAUUACGUUUUCAUCCUUCCAUCCUUCCAGGAGUUCUUCAUCGGUCAAGUCCAUCAAGUCUAUGUCAGAGAUUACGCCUUUGGCUGUAUUCAUGGUUCGGUGUGCUGUCACACUGACAGGGAUGUCUCCAAGUUGUACAAGGUUUAUUAGCUUGUCGUGUUGUGCUUUGUCUUUAAUUUCUAGUAACAGGUCCCCACUGGCCAGCUUGGUGAUCUUAUAGCCGCCUCCAAUGGUCUCUGCGAGAUGCUUCGCGACAACGAAUGGUGAAAUAGUUCUUGCUUUCUUGUCGGGUUUGUCACUGUGGACAACAUGAAAUUUAGGGAAAGUCUGAGUGCCUUUUAGAAAAAACUGAAACGUAGCAUCGGUGCGCCCCCUUUUAGAGGGACGAUCGGUUGAAAAAGGGUUGGAAGUUCCCAUGAAAUGUGUUGUGUAUUCAGCGACGAUGCCAGUCACCCACCACCGAGCCCAACAAGGGGACACGGCAGGGUAUGCGGUGAAGCAAACCCUGCCAUGCCAACUGUACAUCGUCGCUAUAACCACAUAUGUUAUAACCAAGGUAGGUCAUAGCACACCAGGUUAACCCUAGCCGCCAGGAAAGUUGGAAGUUAUCAGAAGAAAAAGAGGACAGGAAAGACUAAAAGUGAGAGGGAAAGACGAAGGUGUGCGAAGAGAGAGACAGGAAAAGGCGACUGCCGAUUUCCCCCGGGUGGGUCAGUCCGGGGGUGCCGUCUAUGUGAAGCAGAGGCCAAAGGGGUGUGUUGCCUCCGCCGGGGGGCCUUAAAGGUCCAAACACCCAGCAUCGGCUCAACCCCCAGGAUCCCCUUUUCCCCAGACACGGCUAAGCCGCGCACGGCUACACGCGGGAGGGUCCAACCCCCAUGUGCUCGGGUCCGUGG